This is an RNA transcript of Gossypium raimondii (Peruvian cotton), 4118 nucleotides long. It is a transcript of the gene named probable pre-mRNA-splicing factor ATP-dependent RNA helicase DEAH5, with no coding region annotated. The transcript is spliced from 3 exons. Lineage: Eukaryota; Viridiplantae; Streptophyta; Magnoliopsida; Malvales; Malvaceae. The record is from RefSeq and is a predicted model, not a curated record.
AAGAGCUCAAAAUUCCCAAAGCCUAUAGCCAUUGUAAAAGAAUCCAUUGAGAAAAAAAAAAAAAAACUCUGUAAACAGUCAAUGGCAUCAUCGCCUGCCCAGGACGAUGCUUUGAAGAAACUCGAAUAUCUCUCUCUCGUCUCCAAAGUCAGUUCCGAGCUCGAGAGCCAUGUUGGGUUUGCCGAUAAGGUUUUGGCCGAAUUCAUCACCGACAUGGGCCGUCACUCUAACACUGUCGAUGAAUUCGAUGCCAAGCUCAAAGAAAACGGUGCCGAGUUGCCCGAUUACUUCGUUCGCACGCUUCUCACUAUUAUCCACGCGAUCCUGCCUCCGAAACCCAAAGCCGCCGACAAGGAUUCCAAGGCGGAAAACACCGGUGACGGUAAGAAGUCUAAAUUUAAAGCUUUAGCGAUUGCUGAUGAUAAGGAUAGAGCCAAAGAACUAGAGGAGGAAAUUGAGAUGGAGAUGCGAGAUAGGAAGGACAAGGAUAGGGAUAGGGAUAGGGAUAGGGAUAAGAGGGACAGAGAUAGGCAUAGGGAUAGAGAUAGGGGCAGAGAUAGGAGUAGGCAUAGAGAUAGAUAUAAGGAGGAGGAGGAGGAGGAGGAUAGGAGAGAUUAUGGCAUUCGAGGAAGAAAUAGGAAUCGAACCCGGGAUAAUGAGGAUGACAGGGAUUAUAGGAAUAGGGGCAGAAACAGGGACCGGGAUAAUGUAGAACGUGAUGAAGAUGGGGGAAGGAGGAGUAAUGGGAAGUAUAGGGAUAAUGAGCCUGAAUUGUAUAAGGUAUACAAGGGGAGGGUUUCGAGAGUGAUGGAUUCGGGUUGUUUCGUUCAGUUGAAUGAGUUAAGGGGAAAGGAGGGUUUGGUUCAUGUUUCCCAGAUGGCUAGUAGAAGGAUUCCCAAUGCUAAAGAUGUUGUGAAACGGGAUCAGGAGGUUUAUGUGAAGGUAAUUUCGAUUUCAGGUCAGAAGUUGAGUUUGUCUAUGAGAGAUGUUGAUCAGAAUACUGGUAGAGAUUUGCUGCCAUUGAAGAAGAGUUCAGAUGAUGAUGCCUUUAGAACCAAUCCUUCAGGGGGGAAAGAAGGGCCUGUGACAAGAACUGGUCUUUCAGGGAUUAGGAUUCUAGAGGAUGAGGAUGCUGCCCCAUCGCGUAGGCCUUUGAAGAGAAUGAGUUCACCGGAGAGGUGGGAAGCCAAACAGUUGAUUGCUUCUGGUGUUUUGAGCCUAGAUGAGUAUCCCAUGUAUGACGAGGACGGAGAUGGAAUGCUUUAUCAAGAAGAGGGUGCCGAGGAAGAGUUGGAGAUUGAGAUGAAUGAGGAUGAACCUGCCUUUUUACAAGGGCAGACUAGGUACUCUGUCGAUAUGUCACCGGUAAAAAUAUUUAAAAAUCCAGAAGGGUCCUUGAGUCGUGCCGCUGCUCUCCAGUCUGCACUUAUUAAGGAACGGAGAGAAGUACGAGAGCAGCAGCAGAGGACAAUGCUGGAUUCAAUUCCAAAGGAUCUUAAUCGUCCUUGGGAAGACCCAAUGCCAGAGACUGGUGAGAGGCAUCUUGCGCAGGAGCUUAGAGGUGUUGGAUUGUCAGCAUAUGAUAUGCCUGAAUGGAAGAAGGAUGCUUAUGGAAAAGCUUUGACUUUUGGACAGAGGUCUAAACUUUCAAUUCAAGAGCAGAGGCAGAGCCUUCCCAUUUAUAAACUGAAAAAAGAACUCGUUCAAGCUGUCCAUGAUAAUCAGGUACUGGUGGUCAUUGGUGAGACUGGUUCAGGUAAGACUACACAGGUAACCCAGUACCUUGCUGAGGCUGGGUACACUACAAGGGGUAAGAUCGGAUGUACUCAACCUCGUAGGGUGGCUGCAAUGUCUGUGGCGAAGAGGGUAGCUGAGGAAUUUGGUUGUCGGUUAGGGGAGGAAGUUGGUUAUGCUAUUCGUUUUGAAGAUUGUACUGGACCAGAUACUGUCAUCAAGUACAUGACUGACGGCAUGCUUCUAAGGGAGAUUCUGAUUGAUGAGAAUCUUUCUCAAUACUCGGUCAUUAUGCUUGAUGAAGCACAUGAGCGUACAAUUCAUACUGAUGUCCUUUUUGGGUUAUUGAAGCAGCUUGUGAAACGGAGGCCUGAUCUUCGUCUGAUUGUUACAUCUGCUACACUGGAUGCGGAGAAGUUUUCAGGGUAUUUCUUCAACUGUAAUAUUUUCACAAUUCCUGGGAGAACGUUUCCUGUGGAGAUACUCUAUACGAAACAGCCUGAGAGUGACUACCUAGAUGCUGCUUUGAUAACAGUCCUGCAGAUACACUUGACUGAACCUGAAGGUGACAUUCUCCUCUUCUUGACUGGUCAGGAGGAAAUUGAUUUUGCAUGCCAGUCUCUUUACGAGAGGAUGAAAGGGCUAGGUAAAAAUGUUCCAGAGUUGAUUAUUUUACCAGUUUAUAGUGCCCUUCCUAGUGAAAUGCAGUCUAGGAUUUUCGAUCCUGCACCUCCAGGGAAAAGGAAGGUGGUGGUGGCAACCAAUAUUGCUGAGGCUUCUUUAACUAUAGAUGGAAUAUUCUACGUGGUUGAUCCUGGUUUUGCAAAACAAAAUGUUUAUAAUCCAAAGCAAGGGCUUGAUUCCCUAAUCAUAACACCAAUCUCACAAGCAUCAGCAAAGCAACGUGCUGGGCGUGCUGGACGUACUGGACCUGGAAAAUGCUACCGCUUAUACACUGAAAGUGCAUAUCGAAAUGAGAUGUCACCUACCACAAUUCCUGAAAUCCAGAGGAUUAAUCUUGGCACGAUAACACUACAAAUGAAGGCCAUGGGCAUAAAUGAUCUCCUUUCUUUUGAUUUUAUGGAUCCCCCUCCACCCCAAGCUCUCAUUUCUGCCAUGGAGCAAUUAUACAGUCUAGGGGCUCUUGAUGAGGAGGGACUUUUGACUAAAUUGGGUAGAAAAAUGGCAGAAUUUCCUCUUGAUCCUCCACUAUCCAAGAUGUUACUGGCCAGCGUGGACCUCGGGUGUAGUGAUGAGAUAUUGACAAUUAUUGCAAUGAUCCAAACAGGUAACAUCUUCUACAGGCCAAGGGAAAAGCAAGCUCAGGCUGAUCAGAAGAGGGCCAAGUUUUUCCAGCCUGAAGGAGAUCAUUUGACUCUACUUGCUGUAUAUGAAGCUUGGAAAGCAAAGAACUUUUCAGGACCUUGGUGUUUUGAAAAUUUUGUUCAGUCUAGAUCCUUGAGGAGGGCACAGGAUGUCAGAAAACAGCUUCUCAGCAUCAUGGAUAAGUACAAAUUGGAUGUAGUGAGCGCCGGAAAGAACUUUACAAAGAUCAGGAAAGCUAUCACGGCAGGGUUCUUUUUCCAUGCUGCUAGGAAAGACCCGCAGGAAGGAUAUAGAACACUGGUGGAGAACCAGCCUGUUUAUAUACACCCAAGCAGCGCCCUGUUUCAGAGACAACCGGACUGGGUGAUCUACCAUGAGCUGGUAAUGACUACAAAGGAGUACAUGCGAGAGGUAACAGUGGUAGAUCCCAAGUGGCUGGUUGAACUGGCUCCCAGGUUCUUUAAAGUAGCAGAUCCCACGAAAAUGAGCAAGCGGAAGCGUCAAGAACGAAUUGAACCACUUUAUGAUAGAUAUCAUGAACCUAAUUCUUGGCGGCUUAGUAAACGACGAGCUUGAUAUCUUUUCGUCUGCUCUGCUCUGCAUCGCACCUUGUAUUUCUCUGUUCAAAGUUGAGGUUUGGUUGAGGUUUCACAGGUGGAAUGCUCCCUUCAUUUUUUUCGUUCCAUGCCUUGAUCGUACGAGGAGGGAUGCUCUGUUCAUUCCUAAAGAAAUUAUGCGGAUCCACUACUGUCUUCACAUCCACCAAUCUCUCAAAAUUUCCAUUGAAGUAACUCUCUCCAUAAACUUUACCUUCUUGAUAGCUCCAAUUCUUGGUGAUGCCAAUAUCAAGGUCCCUAUAGUUCAAAUAAGCACUCCUUGGGUUUUUAGACACAAAGCUGGUCAUGUAACUGUGAAGCCUAUUCACCAGGCUUCUGCUCCUUUUGUCAGCCUCAAUUCCCAUAUCCUUCCAGUUUAUUGAAUACUGUAUCUUAAACAAAUUCCCUGCUCUAUGUGGGAAUGGUGUCUCUGUUUCCUUUAUUUCAUUCAUUUUUCCUCCA